This 550-nucleotide ribosomal RNA is filed under the name uncultured archaeon. Its description in RNAcentral is "bacterial SSU rRNA". It matches the Rfam family "Archaeal small subunit ribosomal RNA", at positions 326 to 877 of the family's 1478-position model. The record is from RNAcentral.
CGGGGUGCACAGGCGCGAAAACUUUACAAUGCCGGCAACGGCGAUAGGGGAACCUCGAGUGCCAGGUUACAAAUCUGGCUGUCGUGAUGCCUAAAAAGCAUUGCAUAGCAAGGGCCGGGCAAGACCGGUGCCAGCCGCCGCGGUAACACCGGCGGCUCGAGUGGUAACCGUUAUUAUUGGGUCUAAAAGGUCUGUAGCCGGCCGGAUAAGUCUCUUGGGAAAUCUGGCAGCUUAACUGUCAGGCUUUCAGGAGAUACUGUCUGGCUCGAGGCCGGGAGAGGUGAGAGGUACUUCAGGGGUAGGGGUGAAAUCUUGUAAUCCUUGAAGGACCACCAGUGGCGAAGGCGUCUCACCAGAACGGACCUGACGGCAAGGGACGAAAGCUAGGGGCACGAACCGGAUUAGAUACCCGGGUAGUCCUAGCCGUAAACGAUACUCGCUAGGUGUCGGCCACGGUGCGACCGUGGUCGGUGCCGUAGGGAAGCCGUGAAGCGAGCCACCUGGGAAGUACGGCCGCAAGGCUGAAACUUAAAGGAAUUGGCGGGGGAGC